Molecule: ribosomal RNA, 253 nt
Filed under: uncultured bacterium
Lineage: Bacteria
Also listed under: 1 other name
Description: partial 16S ribosomal RNA
Rfam family: Bacterial small subunit ribosomal RNA
Source: RNAcentral
UACGUAGGGUGCAGGCGUUAAUCGGAAUUACUGGGCGUAAAGCGUGCGCAGGCGGCUCCUUAAGUCAGAUGUGAAAGCCCCGGGCUUAACCUGGGAACUGCGUUUGAAACUGGGGAGCUAGAGUGUAGAAGAGGGGGGUGGAAUUCCAGGUGUAGCAGUGAAAUGCGUAGAUAUCUGGAGGAACACCGAUGGCGAAGGCAGCCCCCUGGGCUAACACUGACGCUCAUGCACGAAAGCGUGGGGAGCAAACAGG